GGGCGGGUAGCUUAGUCCGAUUGGAGCACGCGACUGAUAAUCGCGCGGUCGGGAGUUUAAAUCUCCCCCUGCACAC
This 76-nucleotide transfer RNA is filed under the name uncultured archaeon. RNAcentral's name for it is "tRNA-Ile(gat)". It matches the Rfam family "tRNA". Rfam says of the family: Transfer RNA (tRNA) molecules are approximately 80 nucleotides in length. Their secondary structure includes four short double-helical elements and three loops (D, anti-codon, and T loops). The record is from RNAcentral.